UUUUGGAAGUUUUCGGAUGGAAGAAGUGUGUUCUAGCGGCGGACGGGUGAGUAACGCGUGAGCAACCUGUCCCUCACAGGGGAAUAACGCAUCGAAAGGUGUGCUAAUACCGCAUGAGACCACGGUACCGACAUGGUACAGGGGUUAAAGGAGCAAUCCGGUGAGGGGUGGGCUCGCGUCUGAUUAGCUGGUUGGUGAGGUAACGGCUCACCAAGGCGACGAUCAGUAGCCGACCUGAGAGGGUGAUCGGCCACAUUGGAACUGAGAAACGGUCCAAACUCC
Molecule: ribosomal RNA, 282 nt
Filed under: uncultured bacterium
Lineage: Bacteria
Also listed under: 1 other name
Description: partial 16S ribosomal RNA
Rfam family: Bacterial small subunit ribosomal RNA (bases 41-282)
Source: RNAcentral